GACGAACGCUGGCGGCGUGCUUAACACAUGCAAGUCGAACGGAAAGGCCUCAGCUUGCUGGGGUACUCGAGUGGCGAACGGGUGAGUAACACGUGGGUGAUCUGCCUUGCACUCUGGGAUAAGCUUGGGAAACUGGGUCUAAUACCGGAUAUGAACUGCCUUUAGUGUGGUGGUUGGAAAGUUUUUUCGGUGCAAGGUGAGCUCGCGGCCUAUCAGCUUGUUGGUGGGGUAAUGGCCUACCAAGGCGUCGACGGGUAGCCGGCCUGAGAGGGUGUACGGCCACAUUGGGACUGAGAUACGGCCCAGACUCCGACGGGAGGCAGCAGGGGGGAAUAUUGCACAAUGGGCGGAAGCCUGAUGCAGCGACGCCGCGUGGGGGAGGACGGCCUUCGGGUUGGAAACUCCUUUCGACAGGGACGAAGCUUUUUGUGACGGUACCUGUAGAAGAAGCACCGGCUAACUACGUG
Molecule: ribosomal RNA, 467 nt
Filed under: uncultured bacterium
Lineage: Bacteria
Description: partial 16S ribosomal RNA
Rfam family: Bacterial small subunit ribosomal RNA
Source: RNAcentral